This 386-nucleotide ribosomal RNA is filed under the name uncultured bacterium. Its description in RNAcentral is "bacterial SSU rRNA". It matches the Rfam family "Bacterial small subunit ribosomal RNA", at positions 102 to 520 of the family's 1533-position model. The record is from RNAcentral.
ACGGGUGAGUAACACGUGACUAACCUACCCUCGAGUGGGGAAUAACCUCGGGAAACCGGGGCUAAUACCGCAUAACAUCUUCGGAUCAAAUGCGUAAGCAGCUUGAGGAGGGGGUCGCGGCCGAUUAGCUAGUUGGCGGGGUAAUGGCCCACCAAGGCAAUGAUCGGUAGCCGGCCUGAGAGGGCGCACGGCCACACUGGAACUGAAACACGGUCCAGACUCCUACGGGAGGCAGCAGUGGGGAAUUUUGCGCAAUGGGGGAAACCCUGACGCAGCAACGCCGCGUGGAGGAUGAAGCCCUUUGGGGCGUAAACUCCUUUCGAUCGGGACGAUUAUGACGGUACCGGAAGAAGAAGCACCGGCUAACUCUGUGCCAGCAGCCGCGG